Molecule: long non-coding RNA, 1899 nt
Organism: Corvus hawaiiensis (hawaiian crow)
Lineage: Eukaryota; Metazoa; Chordata; Aves; Passeriformes; Corvidae
Exons: 2
Source: RefSeq, a predicted model, not a curated record
UGCGGAGCCGCGCGCGCUUGCCUGCGCGAGCCGUUCCCGCGCUUUCUCCCUGCCCCGCCCAGCCUGAGGGGCAGGUGCGCGCCCCGGGCACCCCCGGCGUGAGGGGGGGCUGCGGAAACACCGGCGGGAGCGGGCCCCCGAGGGAACUUUGCCGUCCCGUGAGGCGGCACCGGGAGCGACCCUGCUCCGGGGGGCACAGGGACACCUCCCGACACAGCCCCUCGAAAUAGCGGCGGCCCCCGAGCGGGCUGAGCCCGUCCCAGCGGCGGCCGCAGCUGAAGUGCGAAGAGCAUCGUGCGCAGCGCGAAGCGCGCCCAGCUCCGCUGUGGGACCUCCCCCCCACACCUGAUUCGGACAAGGACGUGGCAUAUCGCCCUCCUCCCUGGGUUCUGCCCCGAAGAACCCACCUCCGUGAAUGCGCACAGCCCCACAUGCAAAGACAAGAGCACCCCGCCUGCGCUCUCAGCGCCGAGCCUGCCUGCAGCUCUGUGAGGCACAGAGGUGCGAUGGCAUCUCCCACCAAUGCACCCCCCAUCUUGAUGUCCCCUGCCAGGUUGGUGGCACCUCCUAGAUGCUCUCAGGUGGGGACAGCUGCAGUGCCAGGGUCCUGCAAGCAUCAGCCCUGCAUCCCCCUGACUACCACCCACCCAAGCACAAGGGUGAAAUGCUGACACACGUGUCCUCCCUAGUGGAUACAGGGGACUGGCAUCUUAUCAAGACUUGUCUUGGCAAGACAGCGACUGAAAAUCUCAACAUCUCAUCACAAGUGUGAGACAGCAGCUGCCAUUUAUCACUCUUGAUGAGUUGAUUGGCAUUCUCAGUUGUAACUGAACUCUGCAAGUGCACAAGAGAAGAGCACCUUCAAUUCUUCGCUUCAUGUCCCCAAAAUGCGUGCCCUAGGUUUUGAAGCCUGCUCACCCCAAUCAAGCCCUUCUGGAUCUCAUCAACAUGAAGGAACUCUCCUUUCGCCUUUCCAGCUGUUCUGUGCAAUACUUCUUGGGAGUGACUUCCUAGUGAUGCUAACAGGUUUCCCUGGCGCCCCCAAGCAGAUUAAGUGGAAGAACGCAGCAGCAAGUGCCUUCCCUCUAACCAGCUCCAAUGGAAUGGUUUUCCCAUAGGAAUUUACCUCAGAAGAAUAACCCCAGUCCCUCCAGCCAAACUGCCUCCUUUCCAGAGAAGCCAGAGGCUUGCAAGCCUUUAAAAAAAAAAAAAUCCCCAAAUCAAGAUAGUAUUUCAAGUCGGAUUAUGUCUCUUUCUCCAAAGAGCUGAAAGUUUAGCUGGAACUAAUUAGCCAGGCUCUGCAGAAAGGAGGCUGUAAAGAAGGAGGUUUCAUUGCCCUCAGUGCUGCAUCCCACUGCCGACAUCAGCAGUGGCAAUGGGGCAGUUCACUGGCAGGCAGAGGCAGGUGGAAGAAAAGGCAGUCGGGAAGCAGAGCCCUGAUAUUCAGGGUCUUCAGCCUCUUCCUUAGGGUUUUCCCUGAGAAAAUCACCUGGGUGAGGCCAACAGGAGAGGCUGGGAGCCAGCCCAUGCCCUUGCUGAGCAGAUUAGCGGCAGUGCUGAUUGUCCCUCCUUGCCAGCCCCAGGAAAGAAGCCUGAUCCCUGCCUGGCGCAGAAAUGGAUCCAAUGGGAGGUUGUGAGACAAAACUCGCUCAAAUAUUGAACUAGAAAAAUUUUGCUCGAUCUGCCUUUCAGUAAACAGUGACUAAUUGCUCUGGCUGGAGCUGCUGCACCUUCUAGAUUGGAAGGUGCAGAUGGAGCAACGAUAGUGAAGGCUCCUUACCUGACGCCGGCUGUACAUUAAUCACAAAUGUUUGCUAUGCAAAUCUUGUCAUACAAAGCAAUAAUUGCUGUUCCCAUACUGACCUCAUGUUUAUUUAUUACAUGAGCUCUUUAUUUGAA